This is a long non-coding RNA of Gasterosteus aculeatus aculeatus (three-spined stickleback), 367 nucleotides long. The record is from Ensembl. Lineage: Eukaryota; Metazoa; Chordata; Actinopteri; Perciformes; Gasterosteidae.
CCAUAAUUCAAGUUUUAUUAAUGCACAUGACUAAUUCAGCUUCUUUCCGGGAGUUUUUUUUGUGCUUUCGCCCCUAUCAGGUCUCCAUAGAUCGUGGUUCCUUCGGGACCCUGGUCCUGACACCUACCGUGGCCAUGCUGACGCCUGCUGCUGCCAUCAUCAUCAUCAUCAUCAUCAUUAUUUUAGAUAUUAAUCAUAUUACUUUACUCAUAAACCGACAUUACCCUCUCCUAAAGUCUCUGUGCUCUCCCUCCCCACAGGAUUCUGUGGAUGGUGGUUCUAUCUGAUGGUGGUUGCCCCUGCAGUGGUCCUGCUUCUGUCCAUCCCGGGAGUGGGAUCCCUCCUCUGACGUUCUCCCUAAGGUUUC